This is a non-coding RNA of Gymnothorax javanicus (giant moray), 72 nucleotides long. NCBI's taxonomy places the organism in Eukaryota, Metazoa, Chordata, Actinopteri, Anguilliformes, Muraenidae. The record is from the annotation of a GenBank genome assembly.
GGCGCAGUGGCCAAGUGAUAAGGCAUCGGUCUUACAAGCCGAAGAUCAUGGGUUCGACCCCUGCCUAUACCU